Molecule: small nucleolar RNA, 135 nt
Organism: Pararge aegeria (speckled wood butterfly)
Lineage: Eukaryota; Metazoa; Arthropoda; Insecta; Lepidoptera; Nymphalidae
Product: small nucleolar RNA psi18S-841/snoR66
Exons: 1
Source: RefSeq, a predicted model, not a curated record
UGCAAGGGCACUCUGUGUUAUACAUUUUCCAUAUGUUACUCACAAUUUGUUACCUUGCUAUAGCAUAUCUACUAUAUCCUAUUCUGAAUGGACUUCAUGUCAUUUUGGUCAUAAUAGUAGAAACAUAAUUAUUGU